UCCGAGUUGUCCCCGGCAGUCCCCUUAGAGUCCCCGGCAUUACCCGCUGGCAACUAAGGGCAGGGGUUGCGCUCGUUGCGGCACUUAAGCCAACACCUCACGGCACGAGCUGACGACAACCAUGCACCACCUGUGUACGGCCCCGAAGGAGCGCCGUGUUUCCACGGCUUCACCCUGCAUGUCAAGUCCUGGUAAGGUUCUUCGCGUUGCGUCGAAUUAAGCCACAUGCUCCGCCGCUUGUGCGGGCCCCCGUCAAUUCCUUUGAGUUUUAAUCUUGCGACCGUACUCCCCAGGCGGGAUGCUUAAAGCGUUAGCGGCGCCACCGAAGAGCAAGCUCCCCGACGGCUAGCAUCCAUCGUUUACGGCGUGGACUAC
This 375-nucleotide unclassified non-coding RNA is filed under the name uncultured bacterium. RNAcentral's name for it is "contains 16S-23S intergenic spacer region". The record is from RNAcentral.